GACGGGAAAGAAUAAUAUAUGAAAGAAAUUACAAAUGUUGUCUAAUACUCUUAAGCUAGCUUAUUCUCUUUUUUUUUUUUUUCUCAUUUACGGUGAAUGCAAAUUCAUAUCCACAUUUAAUCUCUAAACUUUUUUUUUUCUCAUUUGUCCCGUGAAAUAAAUAGACACGUGUUUGUUUGUGUAGGUUAAAUAUAUAUAUUAGGAAGAGUGAGCGUAAUGUUAAUAAUAUAAGGUAAUGUGUUGUUAGAGUGAAUUAAUAAUGUUAUGAUUGGUGUGUGAUAAGGUAUGUUAUAUAUAAGGAGAUCAUAAAAGAAGGAUAGAAGUCACAUAACCAUUUUAUUUAAACAAUUAGAACAAAUUGGAAGAUGGAAGAAAGGAAAGAUGGUAGGUAGUCCUUCAUCCUAUAAGGGUGGAAGAAGGAGUGUAAAAGAAAAAGAAGAAAGAAAGAUUGGAAUAUGUGACUGGCAGCGGGGAUGAUAUCAAGCGUUGGCAGUGGAAGAAAAGAAAUUACAGGCAGUAAGAAUUAUGGUUAGGGGAAAGUCAAGAACAGGGGGAAGGGAGGCGGGGAGGACAAUGACGCCAGAUGCUAUGGCAGUGGUAACGCAAGAAUCAGCUUGGUCAAGAUUCAAGCCCUGAAGGGGAGAGCAGCAGGAAGAAGAGGGGGUUGGGGGGAGAGGUGAAUUCAAUGCAGCUUCAACCAAACUCCCACAUGGACUCAACUCAUCUGUAUUUAUAGGACAUGUACCCACAAUUUGAGACUUCACCAUUGAGAGUGAUAGCAGACUCAGAGAGAGGAAGACUGCCAAAACAUAUUUCAUCCAACCCAUUCUCACAACACUACUUCCUUACUUUUCUUUUUUAUUCUUAAUAAUUAACAACUCAACAACAAUGCCCUAUUUAUAGCCCACUAACUUCUGCUUUUCGGGGUUCAUCAUCUAUUUUCACUUAACCAAACUAAAACUAGUUAACCAUUUCCCUUAAUUAUAAAAAAUAAUACUUCUUUUCAUUUUUUUAACUUAACAAACAAAUUCAUUCCAUAGUAGUCCUUUUAUUUUACUCUACUAUCACAUUUUUUUUUUCGAUUUCAUCUAAUUAUUUUAGAAACAUAUCAAUAUAAUUAUGUUGUAAAAUUCUUCCAUUACCAUCAUAUUAUUAUAAAAUUAUAAAAUGCCAUAUUAUAAUAAUUAAAUAAAAUAAUAAUCAUAUUACUUAAUUUAAAACUAGAUUGGAUUAUAGUUUUACCCCUUCAUAAUUUACUUAAUUUAUAUAUGGUUUUAUAGUCCAACCGAAUCCUACUUUUCUUCUUUCUUAAAAGGUGUGUAAUUGUGCAGCCCU
This 1335-nucleotide long non-coding RNA is filed under the name Vigna radiata. Its description in RNAcentral is "long non-coding RNA (VRAD_LNC003359)". Lineage: Eukaryota; Viridiplantae; Streptophyta; Magnoliopsida; Fabales; Fabaceae. The record is from RNAcentral.